AAGAACCCGUCUCUUAACUUUUAACUUUUAACUAAAAAAACUAAAAACCGGUUUUUAAAUAAGAUAUUUAAGAAUUUAAGAACCGAUUUUUAGUUUUUUUAGUUAAAAGUUAAAAGUUAAGAGACGGGUUCUU
Non-coding RNA from Brassica napus (rape), 133 nucleotides. The record is from Rfam. Lineage: Eukaryota; Viridiplantae; Streptophyta; Magnoliopsida; Brassicales; Brassicaceae.